Molecule: ribosomal RNA, 230 nt
Filed under: uncultured bacterium
Lineage: Bacteria
Description: partial 16S ribosomal RNA
Rfam family: Bacterial small subunit ribosomal RNA
Source: RNAcentral
CGGGGUGGAGCAAUGUCUGGGAAACUGCCUGAUGGAGGGGGGUAACUACUGGAAACGGUAGCUAAUACCGCAUAACGUCGCAAGACCAAAGAGGGGGACCUUCGGGCCUCUUGCCAUCGGAUGUGCCCAGAUGGGAUUAGCUAGUAGGUGGGGUAACGGCUCACCUAGGCGACGAUCCCUAGCUGGUCUGAGAGGAUGACCAGCCACACUGGAACUGAGACACGGUCCAG